AUGAACGCUAGCGGCAGGCUUAAUACAUGCAAGUCGUGGGGCAGCAUGAGUAGCAAUACUUGAUGGCGACCGGCAAACGGGUGAGGAACACGUACACAACCUUCCUUCAAGCGGGGAAUAGCCCAGAGAAAUUUGGAUUAAUACCCAUAAUAUAUUUGAUAAGGCAUCUUAUUAAUAUUAAAGCUUCGGCACUUGAUGAUGGGUGUGCGGCUGAUUAGAUAGUUGGCGGGGUACCGGCCCACCAAGUCUACGAUCAGUAGCUGAUGUGAGAGCAUGAUCAGCCACACGGGCACUGAGACACGGGCCCGACUCCUACGGGAGGCAGCAGUAAGGAAUAUUGGACAAUGGACGAAAGUCUGAUCCAGCCAUGCCGCGUGAAGGAUUAAGGUCCUCUGGAUUGUAAACUUCUUUUAUAUGGGACGAAAAAGGGCAUUCUUGUUCACUUGACGGUACCAUAUGAAUAAGCACCGGCUAACUCCGUG
Molecule: ribosomal RNA, 482 nt
Filed under: uncultured bacterium
Lineage: Bacteria
Description: bacterial SSU rRNA
Rfam family: Bacterial small subunit ribosomal RNA
Source: RNAcentral